Trifolium pratense (red clover) is the source of this 344-nucleotide long non-coding RNA. RefSeq lists it as uncharacterized. NCBI's taxonomy places the organism in Eukaryota, Viridiplantae, Streptophyta, Magnoliopsida, Fabales, Fabaceae. The transcript has 3 exons. The record is from RefSeq and is a predicted model, not a curated record.
UCUGUAUCAUUUGUAUAUUGAUUGACAUGCAGGGCACCUUUGUUGAGGGAAUAAAGGAAGAGGUUGUACUCUCCCCUGCUCAUGCACUCUCUCUUAUUGCAGCUGGAGAAGAGCACAGACAUGUUGGGUCCACAAACCUUAACUUACUCAGCAGCAGGAGCCAUACAAUAUUUACCCUGGUUACACAAUUCAAGACAAAUGAGAAAUUGAUUUGUAUGGAGAGUCGCUUUUAGCUAUGGAGGAGAAAUAGAUUCUUAGUUAUAGAUAGUAUAUUGUUGUUUUGAGAAUUUGGUUGUAAAUUCUUAAUUUCAGGAACAAUAUUAAAUACUAGUGAUGUUUUUGUA